GGGACUACAGGCGCCCGCCACCACGCCCUUCUCAAGUAUUCUUAGCUUGAGAUGAUGGAUUAGAAGAAUAGAUUUCAGUGUUUAAGCACAUUUGCUUGUGCAAAGCAUAAUUGUGUCCACCUGCAGUAGUGUGUGAUUGGUCCCUGGUGCCUUAUUUAGUUCACCUGGUGACAUCAUGUUUUCCUGGAUGGUACUGAAGCUAGUAGAUGUUCUUCAGUGCCUGGGCGUUGAAGAGUCAGGACAUCCAUAAAAAUUCAUCAGAGAGCAUUUUACUACUGAGCUGCAAAGGUAGGAAAAAUAAAUUUUUUUUGGUUAGAAAAUAUACUUCUUUCAUCUGCGUUUCAAUAAUUUAUUCCCCUUGUUAGAUAUACAUGGAAUUGAUAUUGCUUAUUCUGACUAAGUGAAAAGUGUUAUUUCUACUUACUGCUCAAUUAGAAACAUGUAGUGUUUAAUUGUCAGUUUGAAUUUUUCUUUCAUACUAUUACAGUUUAUAUUUUACUAUAGGCAGAAUUUCCUCUUUAUCCUAAAUUUUGAUAUUCUCCAUAAUUUCAUCGUGCCUUGACAUUGCUGUAUAUAAUUUCUAUACAUCAGGAAGGCAAUUCUGUGUGCAUGUGUGUGUGUAUAUAUAUAGUUAGAAGUUAGAAACUGAAACUCUUUUUUGUCUACCAUCAUUUCAUAUUUUUCUUGCUAUUUCAAACCUAUAAUUUUUAAAGAAACGACUAACGUAAUCAUUCAUAGAAUAUGCUGUCAGUAACUUAACAAUAUAAAUGUUAACAUGGAGGCAUUUAGUUCAGCAUUUGCUUUACUUAAUAGAGUGCAGAAAAUGUGGCCCUUUUCUCAGUUAGGGUGUAUGUGAAGAUAAAUUUAGAAUUUCUAGACUAGUAAAUACUUCUCUGAUAAUAACUUAAUUAUAGCUAUUUCAAACCAAAUUGUUUAAUUGUGGUGAAUCAUAUGUAAAUUGUUCAGAUGUAGGUCAACACCCACGCCCACAUUCUAGCACCUCUUUCCUAAUUCAAGACAACUUUGCAGUGCCUAAAAGAGCUGAACAGUGCAGAUUAGAGACAUAAGACAAAAAAAAAAAAAAAA
RNAcentral lists this long non-coding RNA (1086 nucleotides) under Homo sapiens (human). RNAcentral's name for it is "mir-99a-let-7c cluster host gene". The record is from RNAcentral. Lineage: Eukaryota; Metazoa; Chordata; Mammalia; Primates; Hominidae.